Molecule: long non-coding RNA, 585 nt
Filed under: Bos indicus x Bos taurus (hybrid cattle)
Lineage: Eukaryota; Metazoa; Chordata; Mammalia; Artiodactyla; Bovidae
Description: lncRNA (ENSBIXG00005011241.1)
Source: RNAcentral
UAGAGAUGCUGGUGUCCCACAUCCUGUUGGUCUCGUCUCUCCGGGACUGUGGCCCUCCAGGAGAAAUUCCCUUCUGAAGGAGAAGCAACAGCCUAGAGGACCUCUUAGAAAGGACCGCAUCAUCAGCUAAGGAGGAAAAGUAACAAAGAACUUGAAGACUUUCAUGGCUCCCAGGCCCUGGAUGGAGGCAGACGGCAUCAGGCAGCUUCAGACAGAGAAUGGUGGAAGCUGAGGGGCAGCUAGGAUGCGCCUGGGGCUGCAAAGCCCAGGAUAUGAAUCAGAGAGAAAAAACUGAAGUCUUGUCCCAAAAAAAGGACAGGGAGGACAGCAAAGGAUUUUUCACUGACUUGUCUUUGGAAAAGACUCAGAAGAGCCCGUUAACUUGGCUUCCUCACUUUGCUCAUCAUCGGCCCCAUCAGCAGAGAGAAAUAAUGACUCCUGAAUCAUUUCAGAAUCAAAAAGUUAAAAUGAUGUCUCAGUGACGCUACAACGUGCCAGACGCGGGUGAAUGGUUUGAAGAUGCUGGCCUAGCAAGAUGGCAACAGGUUUAAAACACUGGAUUCAUAAGAAGUUCCUUUUGUUCAG